GCCGAAGUAGCUCAGUUGGUAGAGCAACCGCCUUGUAAGCGGUAGGUCCCGAGUUCGAAUCUCGGCUUCGGCU
Molecule: transfer RNA, 73 nt
Filed under: Minisyncoccota bacterium
Lineage: Bacteria; Bacillati; Minisyncoccota
Also listed under: 1 other name
Description: tRNA-Thr
Rfam family: tRNA
About the family: Transfer RNA (tRNA) molecules are approximately 80 nucleotides in length.
Source: RNAcentral